Molecule: ribosomal RNA, 507 nt
Filed under: Salmonella enterica subsp. enterica serovar Oranienburg
Lineage: Bacteria; Pseudomonadati; Pseudomonadota; Gammaproteobacteria; Enterobacterales; Enterobacteriaceae
Description: bacterial LSU rRNA
Rfam family: Bacterial large subunit ribosomal RNA
Source: RNAcentral
CACACGGCGGGUGCUAACGUCCGUCGUGAAGAGGGAAACAACCCAGACCGCCAGCUAAGGUCCCAAAGUCAUGGUUAAGUGGGAAACGAUGUGGGAAGGCCCAGACAGCCAGGAUGUUGGCUUAGAAGCAGCCAUCAUUUAAAGAAAGCGUAAUAGCUCACUGGUCGAGUCGGCCUGCGCGGAAGAUGUAACGGGGCUAAACCAUGCACCGAAGCUGCGGCAGCGACGCUGAUGCGUUGUUGGGUAGGGGAGCGUUCUGUAAGCCUGCGAAGGUGUGUCGUGAGGCAUGCUGGAGGUAUCAGAAGUGCGAAUGCUGACAUAAGUAACGAUAAAGCGGGUGAAAAGCCCGCUCGCCGGAAGACCAAGGGUUCCUGUCCAACGUUAAUCGGGGCAGGGUGAGUCGACCCCUAAGGCGAGGCCGAAAGGCGUAGUCGAUGGGAAACGGGUUAAUAUUCCCGUACUUGGUGUUACUGCGAAGGGGGGACGGAGAAGGCUAUGUUGGCCGGG